This 213-nucleotide ribosomal RNA is filed under the name Clostridioides difficile. RNAcentral describes it as "partial 23S ribosomal RNA". It matches the Rfam family "Bacterial large subunit ribosomal RNA", at positions 1189 to 1409 of the family's 2925-position model. Lineage: Bacteria; Bacillati; Bacillota; Clostridia; Peptostreptococcales; Peptostreptococcaceae. The record is from RNAcentral.
UACUACCGAAGCUACGGCAUCAGUAAUGAUGGGUAGGGGAGCUUCCCAUACGGGUUGAAGCAUGACCGUAAGGACAUGUGGACAGGAUGGGAGUGAGAAUGUUGGCAUGAGUAGCGAGAUGUGGGUGGGAAUCCCACAGGCCGUAAACCCAAGGUUUCCAGGGGAAGGUUCGUCCGCCCUGGGUUAGUCGGGACCUAAGCUGAGGCCGAAAGG